AUGGCUACGAUAGACGGACGGCCUGCUCAAUAUGGGAUCUCCCUCAAGCAAAUGCGUGACCUCAUGGAACACCGAGGUCGUGAGGGAGUCAACAAAAUCAAAGACUUGGGUGGAAUACAAGAACUUUGUAAAAAGCUCUACACGUCACCCAAUGAAGGUCUCAGCGGGUCCCAGGCAGAUUUAGAUCAUCGGAGAGAAGUUUUUGGCUCAAAUUCAAUUCCGCCUAAACCCCCAAAGACUUUUCUACAAUUAGUAUGGGAGGCUCUACAGGAUAUCACUCUCAUUAUUCUUGAAGUAGCUGCCAUAGUGUCCUUAGCCCUUUCAUUUUAUCAUCCAGCCGCCGAAGAAGAUGAAUCUAUUCCUUUUGACGACGAUGAAACAAGUCACGGGUGGAUUGAAGGGUUGGCAAUUUUAAUAUCGGUUAUCGUGGUAGUUCUCGUGACAGCAUUCAAUGAUUACACCAAAGAGCGACAGUUUCGUGGUUUACAAAGUCGAAUUGAGGGCGAGCACAAAUUCGCCGUCAUUCGACACGCCGAAGUAAUUCAGAUUCCUGUGAGCGAAAUAGUUGUUGGUGAUAUUUGCCAGAUAAAGUACGGAGAUCUGCUCCCUGCGGAUGGCAUUUUAAUACAAUCAAAUGACUUAAAGGUUGAUGAGUCAUCACUGACUGGAGAGUCAGAUCAUGUAAAGAAAGGCGAAUCUUUCGAUCCGAUGGUGCUUUCCGGUACGCAUGUGAUGGAAGGUUCGGGAAAAAUGCUAGUCACCGCAGUGGGAGUCAAUUCUCAAGCUGGUAUUAUUUUCACCCUAUUGGGUGCAGCAGUGGACCAACAGGAAGCGGAAAUAAAGAAAAUGAAAAAAGAAGCUAAAAAGCAACGGAAGAAGAAAAGCUCGACAGGUGAUGAUGAAGGAGCUGUAACUGGAAACAGUCAUGUCAACUCCCCUGCGCCCCCCGUUUCGAAUAAAAUCGAUGCAGUUCCCGAAACAGGAGAAAAUCACGUACAGUCGUCAUCCCCAGCAGCGGAAAGUCAUAAAAAGGAGAAGUCGGUACUUCAAGCGAAACUUACGAAGCUUGCCAUACAAAUCGGUUAUGCAGGCUCCACAAUAGCUGUUCUUACUGUUCUUAUUUUGAUUACUCAGUUCUGCGUGAAAACGUUUUUUAUCGAUGGCAAGGGUUGGAAGAACACCUAUGCUAAUUAUCUGGUCAAGCACCUUAUCAUCGGUGUAACUGUUUUGGUGGUCGCUGUUCCUGAAGGAUUACCUCUUGCUGUUACUCUCUCUUUAGCUUAUAGCGUUAAGAAAAUGAUGAAAGACAACAAUUUAGUGAGACAUUUGGAUGCUUGUGAAACGAUGGGUAAUGCUACAGCUAUCUGCUCAGAUAAGACGGGCACGCUAACAACAAACAGGAUGACAGUCGUUCAAUCGUAUAUUUGCGAACAACUUUGCAAAACUAUGCCUAAAUUCUCCGAUAUACCAGCACAUGUUGGAAAUCUCAUAAUAGAAGGAAUCUCUGUAAAUUCAGCUUUCACUUCGCGUAUUAUGCCUUCAGAAGAUCCCACAGAACUACCAAAACAAGUUGGCAAUAAGACUGAAUGUUCAUUGUUAGGUUUUGUAUUAGGUCUAGGAAAAAGUUAUCAGACAGUACGUGACGACCAUCCUGAAGAAUCGUUUGUACGAGUUUAUACGUUUAACUCCGUGAGAAAGUCGAUGAGUACUGUAAUACCUAGACCGGGUGGCGGUUACAGGUUAUAUACGAAAGGUGCUUCUGAAAUGAUACUAAACAAGUGUGCCUUUAUUUACGGUCACGAUGGCCGUUUGGAAAAAUUCACCAGAGAUAUGCAAGAACGUCUAUUGCGACAAGUAAUUGAGCCGAUGGCUUGUGACGGUUUACGUACAAUAGCUAUUGCAUAUCGCGACUUUGUUCCUGGUAAGGCGGAGAUAAACCAAGUUCAUUCGGAAACAGAGCCUAACUGGGACGAUGAAGCAAACAUUGUUAACAACUUGACCUGCCUUUGCGUUGUUGGUAUAGAAGAUCCGGUAAGACCUGAAGUGCCAGACGCUAUCAGAAAAUGUCAAAGGGCUGGUAUCACGGUUAGAAUGGUCACUGGAGAUAAUAUUAAUACAGCACGUUCGAUUGCCACAAAAUGUGGUAUUCUAAAACCGAACGAAGACUUCCUUAUUCUUGAAGGCAAAGAGUUUAACAGAAGGAUUAGGGACGCUAAUGGAGAAGUUCAGCAACAUCUGAUAGACAAAGUGUGGCCUAAACUGCGCGUACUUGCGCGCUCUUCUCCUACUGACAAGUACACAUUGGUGAAAGGUAUCAUUGACAGUAAGAUUAGUGAACAGAGGGAAGUAGUUGCGGUCACUGGAGAUGGUACAAACGACGGCCCAGCUUUGAAAAAGGCCGACGUCGGAUUCGCUAUGGGUAUUGCCGGAACUGAUGUUGCUAAAGAAGCGUCUGAUAUUAUUUUGACCGACGACAACUUCAGUAGCAUUGUUAAAGCUGUCCUGUGGGGCAGAAACGUGUACGAUAGCAUUGCUAAAUUUUUGCAGUUCCAACUUACCGUAAAUGUUGUUGCUGUUAUUGUAGCUUUUAUUGGUGCCUGUGCUGUUCAAGACAGUCCUCUGAAGGCUGUCCAAAUGUUAUGGGUCAAUUUGAUUAUGGACACCUUGGCCUCAUUAGCAUUGGCUACAGAACUUCCAACACCAGAUCUAUUAUUAAGAAAACCAUAUGGAAGAACGAAGCCGUUGAUAUCUAGGACCAUGAUGAAAAAUAUAUUAGGACAAGCUGUUUACCAGCUAACUGUUAUAUUUUCUUUGUUAUUUGUUGGUGACAAGAUGUUGGAUAUUGAGUCAGGUCGCGGAGCCCCUAUUGGUGCUGGUCCAACGCAGCACUUCACUGUUAUUUUCAAUUCAUUUGUUAUGAUGACACUUUUUAACGAGUUCAACGCUCGGAAAAUUCACGGACAAAGGAACGUUUUUGAAGGAGUUUUUACGAACCCGAUCUUCUACAGUAUAUGGUUGGGAACUUGUGCUGCACAGGUAGUAAUUGUGCAAUAUGGAAAAAUGGCAUUCUCAACAAGAAGUUUGACCCUGGAACAAUGGCUCUGGUGUCUGUUCUUUGGUUUUGGAACACUACUUUGGGGCCAGGUUGUGACAACUAUACCAACUAGGAAAAUACCUAAGAUACUAUCAUGGGGCCGUGGUCAUCCAGAAGAGUAUACCGAAGCCAUUAACAUCGGCGAAGAGAAGUUCGAUUUGGAUUCAGAUAAGAAACCAAGGGCGGGACAAAUUCUUUGGAUUAGGGGUUUGACUAGAUUACAGACACAAGUGAUAGGUGGUGAAUUGCAAGAGCGUUUGAUUCCAGUCCCAUACAGCAAGAGCUCCACUGACCAAGCUGUGGGGCAAAAUCACGUAAGCAAAGUAACCGAUAUCUGGUAAAGACUGUAUGUAUUUGAACAAUGUUACUCGUGUGUGUUCAGUGGUGUUCAAUAUUCUAAAUUCAUGUUUUGUUUGGAUUGAUUACUAUUAUUUGUAAACUGCAAGUUCAAUGUUAAUCGGAUUGAUCCAUAUUUGGUAAAACUUAUAAUGCUUGUAGAGGUACCGUUGGGCUGAAUUGGGUUGAUAACAAGCCCAAUCACCCGACAAAAUACGCAACCACUUGCUGGUCUAUUCACAUUUAAUGUGGUCUCAACUAAAUUCAGUUGUGCUUCUGUUGUACUUUGCUGAAAUCGAGAAUGUACUUAAGCUUGGCAAUGUUGGAAAUGAAAUGUUAUACACGGCAUGUCUUAAUGGCUCCACACAAAUACAUUUCACUCAGGCAGUAUUGCAGAUCCCGACUGCCUUCGUGCACAUGUAUGUAUGUAUGUCUGUAUGCACCAUGAAUCCCAUACGGACAUGGUUGUUUUACGUACCAAUAUUACUUACUAUUUAUUAUUUCCUUUAUUGCAUGGUUGUUAACUAUUUGAUGUGAUCUCGACAUACCGGUUCUCAAACUCUAUAAAAUCCGUUUUUCCCAUGCUGUUCCUGAUCAUGCAUUCUUACUCAUUUCCCAUCUAAAUUCCAAAAUCUUCGUCCGUUUACAGUGCCAUCGUGCUCUCAAAUAUUUUUCCACCUUUUUGAUCCGAGUAGUAAAUGCU
RNAcentral lists this unclassified non-coding RNA (4133 nucleotides) under Agrilus planipennis (emerald ash borer). Its description in RNAcentral is "plasma membrane calcium-transporting ATPase 2, transcript variant X3". Lineage: Eukaryota; Metazoa; Arthropoda; Insecta; Coleoptera; Buprestidae. The record is from RNAcentral.